This 474-nucleotide long non-coding RNA is filed under the name Oryza sativa (Asian cultivated rice). Its description in RNAcentral is "long non-coding RNA (OSAT_LNC001145)". Lineage: Eukaryota; Viridiplantae; Streptophyta; Magnoliopsida; Poales; Poaceae. The record is from RNAcentral.
CAUGCACCAUAGCCGCUCCGCCACCGCCGCAACAGGCUAAUCAUCUCCUCGUCGCAAUCGGAGGAGGCGGAAUCAGCAGAGGCGGCAGAACCAGCGGCUGAGUCAGAGAGGGUGGUGGAGGCGGCGAGGGCAGGGGACAGGCGGCGGCGGGGGGAAGCGAUUUGAGGUGGCGGCGACGAACGACACACAGAAUGGCUGCUAGGUUCGGGGAGUGAUAAAUAAGAGGGUGGUGGAGGCGGCGAGGGCAGGGGACAGGCGGCGGCGGGGGGAAGCGAUUUGAGGUGGCGGCGACGAACGACACACAGAAUGGCUGCUAGGUUCGGGGAGUGAUAAACAAGUAAACACCCCGCGCGUUGCUGCGGGCAAAAAGGAGAUCUAAAUUUAAUUUACAUUCAAGUAUUUCAAUUUGCCAUAUGGUAAGGUCUAUUUGAAUUAUGUAAAUUGAGAAAGAAAAACUGACACCAAAUAUUAAGC